Long non-coding RNA from Brienomyrus brachyistius, 482 nucleotides. RefSeq lists it as uncharacterized. The record is from RefSeq and is a predicted model, not a curated record. NCBI's taxonomy places the organism in Eukaryota, Metazoa, Chordata, Actinopteri, Osteoglossiformes, Mormyridae. The transcript has 3 exons.
CUAAGGUUUUACGGUCAAAGGCAGAUUUCACGUAUCAUUGCUACAGCCAAAAGCAAUAAAUCAAAAACUUUCGAGACGUAGAAACCUGAAACACUCGCAAGCACGCGCGCGUACUUAAAGAAAAAAAACUGGAAUGACGUACAGUAAAGAAACACCGGCAACGUGCGCGUCCACGAGAGGGGGCGACAGAAAAUGGCGAGUCGGUGUAAUAAGGAGCUAUGCACCAUCGAGAGGCGCGGCUUUCGGCAGGAACUUGAUUCGUGGAGACAUAAACUCACUUACAGUGUAGGUAUUGUAAGUGCUCUAGAGGGACUGUUUCACGAAGAAGCUUUUGAAGAUAUAUAUAUUUGCUCCAAGGAGCACUUUUUUGGUUCAAACAACCAACACGACUACUACUCUGGACAACCUCACCAUCAAACAAGCAAAACUGAAUAAUAGACUGCCGAAGGAACUGCAAGGCUUUCUGAAUGCCACCUUUUACA